UUCCAGACUCCUACGGGAGGCAGCAGUGGGGAAUAUUGCACAAUGGGCGAAAGCCUGAUGCAGCAACGCCGCGUGAACGAAGAAGGCUCUUGGGUCGUAAAGUUCUGUUCUGAGGGAAGAAGAAAGUGACGGUACCUCAGGAGAAAGCCCCGGCUAACUACGUGCCAGCAGCCGCGGUAAUACGUAGGGGGCAAGCGUUGUCCGGAAUUAUUAGGCGUAAAGAGUACGUAGGCGGUCUGUUAAGCGCAAGGUGAAAGGCAUAGGCUCAACCAAUGUGAGCCUUGCGAACUGGCAGACUUGAGUGCAGGAGAGGAACGCGGAAUUCCUAGUGUAGCGGUGAAAUGCGUAGAUAUUAGGAGGAACACCGGUGGCGAAGGCGGCUUUCUGGACUGAAACUGACGCUGAGGUACGAAAGCGUGGGGAGCAAACAGGAUUAGAUACCCGAGUAGCG
RNAcentral lists this ribosomal RNA (451 nucleotides) under uncultured bacterium. RNAcentral describes it as "bacterial SSU rRNA". It matches the Rfam family "Bacterial small subunit ribosomal RNA", at positions 329 to 795 of the family's 1533-position model. The record is from RNAcentral.